This 464-nucleotide ribosomal RNA is filed under the name uncultured bacterium. Its description in RNAcentral is "partial 16S ribosomal RNA". It matches the Rfam family "Bacterial small subunit ribosomal RNA", at positions 339 to 795 of the family's 1533-position model. The record is from RNAcentral.
CUACGGGUCGCACCAGUGGGGAAUAUUGCACAAUGGGCGCAAGCCUGAUGCAGCCAUGCCGCGUGUAUGAAGAAGGCCUUCGGGUUGUAAAGUACUUUCAGCGGGGAGGAAGGGAGUAAAGUUAAUACCUUUGCUCAUUGACGUUACCCGCAGAAGAAGCACCGGCUAACUCCGUGCCAGCAGCCGCGGUAAUACGGAGGGUGCAAGCGUUAAUCGGAAUUACUGGGCGUAAAGCGCACGCAGGCGGUUUGUUAAGUCAGAUGUGAAAUCCCCGGGCUCAACCUGGGAACUGCAUCUGAUACUGGCAAGCUUGAGUCUCGUAGAGGGGGGUGGAAUUCCAGGUGUAGCGGUGAAAUGCGUAGAGAUCUGGAGGAAUACCGGUGGCGAAGGCGGCCCCCUGGACGAAGACUGACGCUCAGGUGCGAAAGCGUGGGGAGCAAACAGGAUUAGAUACCCCUGUAGUC